AAAUUAGANCUAAAUCAUUUAAAUUAAACUUAGAAUUUAAUACAAN
Molecule: transfer RNA, 46 nt
Filed under: Oroperipatus sp. DVL-2011
Lineage: Eukaryota; Metazoa; Onychophora; Udeonychophora; Euonychophora; Peripatidae
Description: tRNA-Leu
Source: RNAcentral